GGCAAUGCAACAUGUAAAAAAAAACUAAUGGAAAUUAAAGAAAUAAUAAAAAAAAAUGCAACAUGUAUUAAAAAAAACAAGAGACAUAUUAACAAAAUAUAUAAAUUGCAAGAAACAUUUAAAUAAAAAUUAAUAUGACAUAGAAAUUAAUAGAAGAAAAAUGACAAAUAAUUUACCUCACUGCUAAGAUUUUCUCCGCUUCGAUGGUUGUCAAUCGCUUUUGCUAAGGCAUUUCUCCAUUUCCCCAACUCUUUAUUAAGAACUUUCCACCUACUAGAUAAUGCCAUUUCUGUACGUGUAGAACCAAUUGCCCUUUCACAAAAUGCUUGAUGAAUUUUUUUCCACAUAUGAGAAAAUUUAAUCUCAUUGCCCGUUACGGGACAAUGACUAACUUGGACUCAAGCCUCACACAAGCUAAC
This 419-nucleotide long non-coding RNA is filed under the name Prunus persica (peach). Its description in RNAcentral is "long non-coding RNA (PPER_LNC007826)". Lineage: Eukaryota; Viridiplantae; Streptophyta; Magnoliopsida; Rosales; Rosaceae. The record is from RNAcentral.